This 499-nucleotide ribosomal RNA is filed under the name uncultured bacterium. RNAcentral's name for it is "partial 16S ribosomal RNA". It matches the Rfam family "Bacterial small subunit ribosomal RNA", at positions 30 to 523 of the family's 1533-position model. The record is from RNAcentral.
AUUGAACGCUGGCGGAAUGCUUUACACAUGCAAGUCGAACGGCAGCACGGACUUCGGUCUGGUGGCGAGUGGCGAACGGGUGAGUAAUGUAUCGGCACGUGCCCAGUCGUGGGGGAUAACGUAGUGAAAAUUACGCUAAUACCGCAUACGAUCUAUGGAUGAAAGCGGAGGAUCGCAAGACCUCGCGCGAUUGGAGCGGCCGAUAUCAGAUAGGUAGUUGGUGGGGUAAAGGCCCACAAAGCCAACGGUCUGUAGCUGGUCUGAGAGGACGACCAGCCACACUGGAACUGAGACACGGUCCAGACUUCUACGGGAGGCAGCAGUGGGGAAUUUUGGACAAUGGGCGAAAGCCUGAUCCAGCCAUUCCGCGUGCAGGAUGAAGGCCCUCGGGUUGUAAACUGCUUUUGUACAGAACGAAAAGGUUUCUACUAAUACUAGGAGCUCAUGACGGUACUGUAAGAAUAAGCACCGGCUAACUACGUGCCAGCCGCCGCGGUAA